This 484-nucleotide ribosomal RNA is filed under the name uncultured bacterium. RNAcentral describes it as "partial 16S ribosomal RNA". It matches the Rfam family "Bacterial small subunit ribosomal RNA", at positions 30 to 507 of the family's 1533-position model. The record is from RNAcentral.
AUUGAACGCUGGCGGCAGGCCUAACACAUGCAAGUCGAGCGGAUGAAGGGAGCUUGCUCCUGGAUUCAGCGGCGGACGGGUGAGUAAUGCCUAGGAAUCUGCCUGGUAGUGGGGGAUAACGUCCGGAAACGGGCGCUAAUACCGCAUACGUCCUGAGGGAGAAAGUGGGGGAUCUUCGGACCUCACGCUAUCAGAUGAGCCUAGGUCGGAUUAGCUAGUUGGUGGGGUAAAGGCCUACCAAGGCGACGAUCCGUAACUGGUCUGAGAGGAUGAUCAGUCACACUGGAACUGAGACACGGACCAGACUCCUACGGGAGGCAGCAGUGGGGAAUAUUGGACAAUGGGCGAAAGCCUGAUACAGCCAUGCCGCGUGUGUGAAGAAGGUCUUCGGAUUGUAAAGCACUUUAAGUUGGGAGGAAGGGCAGUAAGUUAAUACCUUGCUGUUUUGACGUUACCAACAGAAUAAGCACCGGCUAACUUCGUG